Molecule: long non-coding RNA, 1981 nt
Organism: Gadus morhua (Atlantic cod)
Lineage: Eukaryota; Metazoa; Chordata; Actinopteri; Gadiformes; Gadidae
Exons: 2
Source: RefSeq, a predicted model, not a curated record
CGCAGCAGCACUAGUAAGCGGAGAGGUGAGGGGGAAGGUCGCUGGACGCUGGGCUAUUGGACCUGAUUUACAUAACGCCGAACAACAACACGGUUCUUUGCGGAAACGACCUGGCCAACAGAUACUCAUGCAAAUAUCGGGAGUUACGGUCUGAACUCCCAGAGGAGGUAUGGGUCGUGCGCAUCGCUCUGCCUGCUCUAGAGUUGGAAAAACACAACUCAGGUCAUCGUCCACGCAAAUUAGCUGCACAUCAUGAGGAAACCGAAUCCAUCGUUCAAAGAUCCUAAGCAAUUCAGCAAGCAAACUUUUUUUUCCACGACAGCUGUUGCUCAAUAUCUAUUACUAAUAUCGAUUUUUUUAAUAUCUAUUUUUGUAUGUUGUCGGUAUGAACUCUUAGAAUAGGGAACCCCUUUAACCGUUAACGAUAUCUGGUCAUCAGACUGCAGGCUUUUCUCCAAACACAACAAGGUCUGUCUUUUAACAUCCUGUGUGUGUGUGUGUGUUUGUGUCUAUGUGUGUGAUUGUUUGUAUGUUUUGUUUGUGGUUUGUGUGUAAUCGUUUUUGCCUGUGUGAUUGUUUGUCUGCUUAGCAUGUCUCUGUGUGUGUGUGUGUGUGUGUGCGUGCGUGCGUGUGUGCGUGCGUGCGCGCGCGUGUGUGCGUGAGUGUGUGUGUGCACGUGUAUGCGUCCAAACAGCAAAAUGGCCGCUAAUAAUUGCCUUCCAGAAGAAGCCAUCUGCCACUGCUUCCUGUUUAUCAUUUAAUCCAAACAAACAGCUGGGGUGUAUGAAGCACAGAGCCAGGCCCUACACGGCCCUGUGUUCGGUGGGGUUGUAGGAGCAAGCAAGGACACAGGGAAGUCUCUAAAUGUAUUAUUAAUAAUAUUAACAAUAAUAACUCACUAUUAGUCGUUAAUCAUCAACAGAAAGUUACUGCUUUUUAAGGGCCGCUGUCCAAAUAGCAUGUUUUUCGGAGUGGCUCUGACUUUCCGCAGUGAGUUUCCAAUGAGGACCUAGCGAACGCAGCUUUAAAGAAACAACUUUUCUGAAAAUCUCGGAGGUUUCCAUCACCGUUGCUUUACGCCAGUCACCCAACAAACGUUUAAUUUCAUAAAAGGAUUUUCCCACGUCGAAGUGGACAGAAAGCUGCAAAGUGACCCGGACGUGGACCGUAACCCCUGACGUUUGAGGGGACAAUGGCGUUAUGGGAUCAUAACAAAGUCAUUAGCGCCCCAGCACUAUUUACUUGGAAAGUAUUCGUGGCCGCAUUCCGGUUCAGCCUCGGAGAUGCGUGCGCACCACGCUGCCAGGUUUUACAAGGCCAUCCAAAACAGAGUUGGUCACGGUUGAGUUUUACAUUACUCAGUUAGUUUCCAAAUAUCCUUUCUCAAUAAAGGGAGGAAGUAAUCCUUUCACUAGGAUUACUCCCCGCUGAAAAGAUAACUACUGUUUGAGGCGUUGAAAGGCCCCCCAUGUCAUGCUCUUUCAUGAUGAGUUGCCGAGGACUAGACGUUGCGCACAUGGCCAAUGAAUACACAAUGUUCAGCAUCAUGCAUUCAUCUUCUGCAGCCGUGGUAGACCAGACAAAAUAAACCAUUGUAAGCAAAAAAAUGUAGUCUGAAUUAUGGCAGAAUUAUCAAAUAAGACACCGUGGUCAAGCUGACAGUGGCAUAAUUCUUUACAGUAGGCUUAUAAUAAAGUAGCCUGCAGACAAUGCGAGUCGUUACGCAAGAAACAGAUAAUGGCAAGUUUAUUCUAUAGAAGUGGCAUGUAUUAUAGAUAUACAGAAAAAAAUGUAGCCUAGGCUAUGCUUGUUAAAAGCCCGGAGGCAAAAGUGCAUAUGCAUUGCAAAUAUAUGCGCAAAUCGAAAUGAUGUAGAGAUCUUACAUCUAUAACCAUGCAAAGUGUGUGUGUGUGUGUGUGUGUGUGUGUGUGUGUGUGUGUGUGUGUGUGUGUGUGUGUGUGUGUGUGUGUGUGUGUGUGUG